UACAGAGGUCCCCAAGCGUUGUUCGGAUUCACUGGGCGUAAAGGGUGCGUAGGUGGUCGGGUAAGUCUGAUGUGAAAUCUCUGAGCUCAACUCAGAAACUGCAUUGGAUACUAUUCGGCUAGAGGAGUGGAGGGGGACGUGGAAUACUUGGUGUAGCAGUGAAAUAGCGUAGAUAUCAAGUGGAACACCAGUGGCGAAGGCGAGUCCCUACGACACUUCCUGACACUGAGGCACGAAAGCU
Molecule: ribosomal RNA, 241 nt
Filed under: uncultured bacterium
Lineage: Bacteria
Description: partial 16S ribosomal RNA
Rfam family: Bacterial small subunit ribosomal RNA
Source: RNAcentral